GACGUAGGGAGCGAGCGUUGUCCGGAUUCAUUGGGCGUAAAGCGCGCGUAGGUGGCCUCGUAAGUCCGCUGUGAAAGUCAAAGGCUCAACCUUUGAAAGCCGGUGGAUACUGUGAGGCUAGAGUACGGAAGAGGCGAGUGGAAUUCCUGGUGUAGCGGUGGAAUGCGCAGAUAUCAGGAGGAACACCAAUAGCGAAGGCAGCUCGCUGGGACGUAACUGACACUGAGGCGCGAAAGCGUGGGGAGCGAACAGG
RNAcentral lists this ribosomal RNA (253 nucleotides) under uncultured bacterium. RNAcentral describes it as "partial 16S ribosomal RNA". It matches the Rfam family "Bacterial small subunit ribosomal RNA", at positions 524 to 776 of the family's 1533-position model. The record is from RNAcentral.